UAGAGUUUGAUCCUGGCUCAGAUUGAACGCUGGCGGCAGGCCUAACACAUGCAAGUCGAACGGUAGCACAGAGAGCUUGCUCUCGGGUGACGAGUGGCGGACGGGUGAGUAAUGUCUGGGAAACUGCCCGAUGGAGGGGGAUAACUACUGGAAACGGUAGCUAAUACCGCAUAACGUCUUCGGACCAAAGUGGGGGACCUUCGGGCCUCACACCAUCGGAUGUGCCCAGAUGGGAUUAGCUAGUAGGUGGGGUAAUGGCUCACCUAGGCGACGAUCCCUAGCUGGUCUGAGAGGAUGACCAGCCACACUGGAACUGAGACACGGUCCAGACUCCUACGGGAGGCAGCAGUGGGGAAUAUUGCACAAUGGGCGCAAGCCUGAUGCAGCCAUGCCGCGUGUAUGAAGAAGGCCUUCGGGUUUUGGAGUACUUUCAGCGGGGAGGAAGGCG
This 448-nucleotide ribosomal RNA is filed under the name Erwinia sp. AE_155. Its description in RNAcentral is "bacterial SSU rRNA". It matches the Rfam family "Bacterial small subunit ribosomal RNA", at positions 1 to 453 of the family's 1533-position model. Lineage: Bacteria; Pseudomonadati; Pseudomonadota; Gammaproteobacteria; Enterobacterales; Erwiniaceae. The record is from RNAcentral.